GGAGAGACGCAGGAAGGUAGCCGAACCGCGGCGAUGGUUGUUCCGCGGGUAAGGGUGUAGGGCGAGGUGUAGGCAAAUCCGCACCUCAUGUGCCUGAGACCUGACACGGACCCGUAAGGGGAAGUCGGUGAUCCUAUGCUGCCAAGAAAAUCUUCUAGCGAGGUUCUAGCCGCCCGUACCCCAAACCGACUCAGGUGGUUAGGUAGAGAAUACCAAGGCGAUCGAGUGAAUCGUGGUUAAGGAAUUCGGCAAAAUACCCCCGUAACUUCGGGAGAAGGGGGGCCCAGAGGGUGACGGGACUUGCUCCCCGAGCCUGAACGGCCGCAGAGACCAGGGAGAAGCGACUGUUUACUAAAAACACAGGUCCGUGCCAAGUCGCAAGACGAUGUAUACGGACUGACGCCUGCCCGGUGCUGGAACGUUAAGGGGACCGGUUAGCCUCACGGCGAAGCUGAGAACUUAAGCGCCAGUAAACGGCGGUGGUAACUAUAACCAUCCUAAGGUAGCGAAAUUCCUUGUCGGGUAAGUUCCGACCUGCACGAAUGGCGUAACGACUUCUCCACUGUCUCAACCACGAACUCGGCGAAAUUGCACUACGAGUAAAGAUGCUCGUUACGCGCAGAAGGACGGAAAGACCCCGGGACCUUUACUACAGCUUGGUAUUGGUGUUCGGUACGGCUUGUGUAGGAUAGGUGGGAGACUGUGAAGCUGACACGCCAGUGUCGGUGGAGUCAACGUUGAAAUACCACUCUGGUCGUUCUGGAUAUCUAACCUAGGUCCGUAAUCCGGAUCAGGGACAGUGCCUGGUGGGUAGUUUAACUGGGGCGGUUGCCUCCUAAAAGGUAACGGAGGCGCCCAAAGGUUCCCUCAGCCUGGUUGGCAAUCAGGUUUCGAGUGUAAGUGCACAAGGGAGCUUGACUGUGAGACUGACAAGUCGAACAGGGACGAAAGUCGGGACUAGUGAUCCGGCGGUGGCUUGUGGAAGCGCCGUCGCUCAACGGAUAAAAGGUACCCCGGGGAUAACAGGCUGAUCUUGCCCAAGAGUCCAUACCGACGGCAUGGUUUGGCACCUCGCUGUCGGCUCGUCGCAUCCUGGGGGCUGGAGUAGGUCCCAAGGGUUGGGCUGUUCGCCCAUUAAAGCGGUACGCGAGCUGGGUUUAGAACGUCGUGAGACAGUUCGGUCCCUAUCCUCUGCGCGCGCAGGAAACUUGAGAAGGGCUGUCCCUAGUACGAGAGGACCGGGAUGGACGAACCUCUGGUGUGUCAGUUGUUCUGCCAAGAGCACCGCUGAUUAGCUACGUUCGGGAGUGAUAACCGCUGAAAGCAUCUAAGCGGGAAGCAUGCUUCAAGAUGAGGUUUCCAUGGGGUUUACCCCGAGAGGCUCCCAGCUAGACUACUGGGUUGAUAGGCCGGAUGUGGAAGUGCGGUAACGCAUGGAGCUGACCGGUACUAAUAAGCCGAUAACUUGAC
RNAcentral lists this ribosomal RNA (1470 nucleotides) under metagenome. RNAcentral describes it as "bacterial LSU rRNA". It matches the Rfam family "Bacterial large subunit ribosomal RNA", at positions 1466 to 2925 of the family's 2925-position model. The record is from RNAcentral.